AGACGUCUACAUUAGAUACCCCCGUAGUCCCAGCCGUAAACUAUGCGCGUUAGGUGUAUCGGUGACCACGAGUUACCGAGGUGCCGAAGGGAAACCGUGAAACGUGCCGCCUGGGAAGUACGGUCGCAAGGCUGAAACUUAAAGGAAUUGGCGGGGGAGCACAACAACGGGUGGAGCCUGCGGUUUAAUUGGACUCAACGCCGGACAACUCACCGGGAACGACAGCAAUAUGUAGGCCAGGCUGAAGACCUUGCCUGAAUCGCUG
RNAcentral lists this ribosomal RNA (265 nucleotides) under uncultured archaeon. RNAcentral's name for it is "partial 16S ribosomal RNA". It matches the Rfam family "Archaeal small subunit ribosomal RNA", at positions 714 to 982 of the family's 1478-position model. The record is from RNAcentral.